Molecule: non-coding RNA, 88 nt
Filed under: Methyloglobulus morosus KoM1
Lineage: Bacteria; Pseudomonadati; Pseudomonadota; Gammaproteobacteria; Methylococcales; Methylococcaceae
Also listed under: 1 other name
Description: Methylococcaceae bacterium KoM1 c-di-GMP-I riboswitch aptamer
Rfam family: c-di-GMP-I riboswitch aptamer
About the family: GEMM was predicted in a large-scale screen for bacterial structured RNA regulatory elements. Genes associated with GEMM are involved in a diverse array of functions, including chemotaxis regulation, signal transduction, secretion and chitin.
Source: Rfam by way of RNAcentral
GAGAAGAUAGGCUAAAACUGUCGUAAGGCAGUGGCAGAAAGUCGCGGAUCCUGACACCCAUUAUCAGGAAAGUAGUCGAACUACCGAU